This 921-nucleotide long non-coding RNA is filed under the name Homo sapiens (human). RNAcentral's name for it is "HSALNT0064832". The record is from RNAcentral. Lineage: Eukaryota; Metazoa; Chordata; Mammalia; Primates; Hominidae.
GUGAAAAGUUAUGAAAUAAGAUAAAAGCUCAGUGUUUCAGAUGAGCAUCUGGCAUUGACAUACCAGUGAUGAAGAUGAAUCAAUGUAUUCAGCAGUAUGUGGCACUAUGUUAUAAGGGGCUUUACAGGAGACACUGGGACAAACGUGUCAAGACAGUAGUAGUACAUUCACACAAGAUAACAAGGCCCUAGAGCCUUUUCCCUAUAACAGUGAAAUCAACAAUGACUGUGUCAGGAGAGAUCUUUAACUUAUUAUUUAUUACAAGAUAUUCUAAUGUUUAAAGAGCAAUCCAACAUAAAUGAAGAGGAUACAAUUACAUCAUUAUCUUGUGCUUUCAAAGGGCUUUAAGUAUUUAGAAGGUUACGUUUUUCAAGAGAGCAAAGUCAUUUGUGAAGAAUUCUUUCCAUGCUUCAGACAUAAGAAACAGCAUACACAAUACUGGACAUCACAGGACCCUCUCCGGCUGGAUACCAGGCUGUAGAACCACCAGAUGCUUCAGAUGAGAAAGGUUGGAUCUGUUUCACAGGGAAGGGGCUAAACUGUUUCAAGAGGCGACCACGCGCUGGGCACUCUGGACUUUGCAACCUACCAAGUAUCAUCACAAGAGCUAUGAAAGUGAAGAGAGACAUACGUUAUCUAAGAAUCUGAGAGAGAUGACUCAGUCAGCAUCCUCUCUCUUGGUGUACAAUGGUAGGGACAGCUACUGUGUCAUCUGGAGCAUGACAAUGAGAACACAGACACUGGAUCGUCCUGAUAUAGCCUGCAGUCCAUCUGGGCCUCUAGACAUUCAUUUGCAUUUGCAUUCAUGCGCAUCCCCUACUACUCCAACUCCUACACCUUUUGGCAGGAUAUAUCCACACAGCUGGAUUGGAAUCACAAGAUGUUUUUAUUUUUUGCCUCAUUAAACUAGUUUCUCUCAAG